GAUUUCUGGCUUGAAACAUUUUGCCGGCCACGGUUUCGUGUGUUAGUGCUUGAUGUUCUGGCCAUCCUUCCAAUUGCUAGUGGCUUUUCUUCAUUGAUUAGUCAUUGGUAUUGGAUCUUUUACUUUGAAAAAAUUAGAGUGUUUCAAGCAGGCUUUAUGCUAUGAAUACAUUAGCAUGGAAUAAUAAUUUAGGACUUCGGUUCUAUUUUGUUGGUUUCUAGGACUGAAGUAAUGAUUGAUAGGGAUAGUUGGGGGUGCUAGUAUUCAGCGGCCAGAGGUGAAAUUCUUGGAUUCGCUGAAGACUAACUUAUGCGAAAGCAUU
This 322-nucleotide ribosomal RNA is filed under the name uncultured Glissomonadida. RNAcentral's name for it is "SSU rRNA". The stretch from base 113 to 322 matches the Rfam family "Eukaryotic small subunit ribosomal RNA", at positions 745 to 955 of the family's 1831-position model. The record is from RNAcentral. Lineage: Eukaryota; Cercozoa; Glissomonadida.